This 514-nucleotide ribosomal RNA is filed under the name uncultured bacterium. RNAcentral describes it as "partial 16S ribosomal RNA". It matches the Rfam family "Bacterial small subunit ribosomal RNA", at positions 28 to 523 of the family's 1533-position model. The record is from RNAcentral.
GAUGAACGCUGGCGGCGUGCCUAGUACAUGCAAGUCGAGCGAACAGAUGAGAAGCUUGCUUCUCUGAUGUUAGCGGCGGACGGGUGAGUAACACGUGGGUAACCUAUCUAUAAGACUGGGAUAACUCCGGGAAACCGGGGCUAAUACCGGAUAAUAUUUUGAACCGCAUGGUUCAAUAGUGAAAGACGGUUUCGGCUGUCACUUAUAGAUGGACCCGCGCCGUAUUAGCUAGUUGGUAAGGUAACGGCUUACCAAGGCGACGGUACGUAGCCGACCAGAGAGGGUGAUCGGCCACACUGGAACUGAGACACGGUCCAGACUCCUACGGGAGGCAGCAGUAGGGAAUCUUCCGCAAUGGGCGAAAGCCUGACGGAGCAACGCCGCGUGAGUGAUGAAGGUCUUCGGAUCGUAAAACUCUGUUGUUAGGGAAGAACAAAUUUGUUAGUAACUGAACAAGUCUUGACGGUACCUAACCAGAAAGCCACGGCUAACUACGUGCCAGCCGCCGCAGUAA